This 492-nucleotide ribosomal RNA is filed under the name uncultured bacterium. RNAcentral describes it as "partial 16S ribosomal RNA". It matches the Rfam family "Bacterial small subunit ribosomal RNA", at positions 29 to 507 of the family's 1533-position model. The record is from RNAcentral.
AGUGAACGCUGGCGGUAUGCCUAACACAUGCAAGUCGAACGGCAGCACGGUAAGAUCUUGCUUUUACCGUUGGCGAGGGACGGGCGGGUGACAAGUAGAUCACCAUCUUAUAUUUCUGGGGUGAUUACGUGGGGAAACUGAUGCUAAUACCUAACACGUUCUACGGGUGGAAGCAGGGGAUCUUGGGAGCUUGGGCGACUGAAAUAGCCGAUGUCGCAUUAGCUAGUUGGCAUGGUAACGGCCCACCAAGGCGACGAUCCGUAGCUGAUCUGAGAGGAUGAUCAGCCACACUGGAACUGAGACACGGUCCAGACUCCUACGGGAGGCAGCAGUGGGGAAUAUUCGACAAUGGGCGCAAGCCUGACCCAGCAACGCCGCGUGAGUGAAGAAGGCCUUCGGAUCGUAAAACCCUGUUGUUGGGAAAGAACAGAAGCAGAUUAAUCCCCGCCUGUUUUGACGGUACCCAAACAGUAAGCACCGGCUAACUUCGUG